ACGGGGGGUGCUAGCGUUGUUCGGAAUCAUUGGGCGUAAAGAGCGUGUAGGCGGCUGGAUAAGUCAGAUGUGAAAGCCCUGGGCUUAACCCAGGAAGUGCAUUUGAAACUGUUCAGCUUGAGUAAGGGAGAGGAAAGUGGAAUUCCUGGUGUAGAAGUUACAUUCCUAGUUAUGAGGAGGAGCCCCGGUGGCGAAGGCGACAUACUGGCCCUAUUCUGACGCUGAGACGAGUGAGCGUGUGUAGCAGUCAG
RNAcentral lists this ribosomal RNA (251 nucleotides) under uncultured prokaryote. RNAcentral's name for it is "partial 16S rRNA". It matches the Rfam family "Bacterial small subunit ribosomal RNA", at positions 525 to 775 of the family's 1533-position model. The record is from RNAcentral.